CAGCCGCCACGGUAAUACGUAGGGUGCAAGCGUUAAUCGGAAUUACUGGGCGUAAUGCGUGCGCAGGCGGUUCGUUAAGACAGAUGUGAAAUCCCCGGGCUUAACCUGGGAACCGCAUUUGUGGCUGGCGGGCUAGAGUAUGGCAGAGGGGGGUAGAAUUCCACGUGUAGCAGUGAAAUGCGUAGAGAUGUGGAGGAAUACCGAUGGCGAAGGCAGCCCCCUGGGCCAAUACUGACGCUCAUGCACGAAAGCGUGGGGAGCAAACAGGAUUAGAUACCCGCGUAGUCCCUGUCUCUUAUAC
Molecule: ribosomal RNA, 301 nt
Filed under: uncultured bacterium
Lineage: Bacteria
Description: partial 16S ribosomal RNA
Rfam family: Bacterial small subunit ribosomal RNA
Source: RNAcentral